Long non-coding RNA from Cydia pomonella (codling moth), 94 nucleotides. RefSeq lists it as uncharacterized. The transcript has 4 exons. The record is from RefSeq and is a predicted model, not a curated record. NCBI's taxonomy places the organism in Eukaryota, Metazoa, Arthropoda, Insecta, Lepidoptera, Tortricidae.
GGGUCUUCUCAUCGGGUCUGAUGAACGCGACAACCGCCAGAUUAACAUCAAUAAUUAUUACGGACCGGACGGGGGACGGGUCAAUGGACAACAG